Molecule: signal recognition particle RNA, 298 nt
Filed under: Aotus nancymaae (Ma's night monkey)
Lineage: Eukaryota; Metazoa; Chordata; Mammalia; Primates; Aotidae
Description: Metazoan signal recognition particle RNA (ENSANAG00000005877.1)
Rfam family: Metazoan signal recognition particle RNA
About the family: The signal recognition particle (SRP) is a universally conserved ribonucleoprotein. It is involved in the co-translational targeting of proteins to membranes.
Source: RNAcentral
GUUGGGCGCGGUGGCACGUGCCUGGAGUCCCAGCUACUCGGGAGGCUGAGGUGGGAGGGUCCCUUGAGCCCAGGAGUUCUGGGUUGUAGUGCGCUAUGCCGAUCUGGUGUCCGCACUAAGUUCGGCAUCAAUAUGGUGACCUCCCGGGAGCGGGGAACCACCAAGUUGCCUAAGGAGGGGUGAACCCGCCCAGUGGGAAACGGAGAAGGGCAAAACUCCCGUGCUGAUCAGUGAUGGGAUCGCACCUGUGAAUAGCCACUGCACUUCAGCCUGGGCAAGAUAGCAAGACCCUGUCUCU